Molecule: transfer RNA, 73 nt
Filed under: Streptococcus pneumoniae
Lineage: Bacteria; Bacillati; Bacillota; Bacilli; Lactobacillales; Streptococcaceae
Description: tRNA-Phe
Rfam family: tRNA
About the family: Transfer RNA (tRNA) molecules are approximately 80 nucleotides in length. Their secondary structure includes four short double-helical elements and three loops (D, anti-codon, and T loops).
Source: RNAcentral
GGCUCGGUAGCUCAGUUGGUAGAGCAAUGGAUUGAAGCGCCAUGUGUCGGCGGUUCGAUUCCGUCUCGCGCCA